RNAcentral lists this long non-coding RNA (250 nucleotides) under Ananas comosus (pineapple). Its description in RNAcentral is "long non-coding RNA (ACOM_LNC031625)". Lineage: Eukaryota; Viridiplantae; Streptophyta; Magnoliopsida; Poales; Bromeliaceae. The record is from RNAcentral.
AGGACUACUCCCGUCCUAGCACGCUUAACUCUCUUAACCUCUUGGACCUUGCCACCACCCAAAAUGCUUAAGCCGGGUUAAGAGUUUAGCCCUAUUAUAUCUUAUAUAUAGGACUAUCUGGGGUCUCACACCCCGAGUAGGCACAGCCUAGGGGUAGAUGUACUAAAACUUGUAAAUAAAUAAUGUGAUAACUUGGAUUGUAUUUGGAGGUCAAAUGUAAUAUGUAAAAAAAAGUUGGAAUGUAUAACCG